This 144-nucleotide ribosomal RNA is filed under the name Candidatus Nomurabacteria bacterium RIFCSPHIGHO2_01_FULL_37_110. RNAcentral describes it as "partial 23S ribosomal RNA". It matches the Rfam family "Bacterial large subunit ribosomal RNA", at positions 2477 to 2620 of the family's 2925-position model. Lineage: Bacteria; Candidatus Nomuraibacteriota. The record is from RNAcentral.
ACAGGCUAGUUCCGCCCAAGAGUUCAUAUCGACGGCGGAGUUCGGCACCUCGAUGUCGGCUCACCUUAGCGCGGCGGCGGAGAAGCUGCCAAGCGUAUGGCUGUUCGCCAUUUAAAAAGGUACGCGAGCUGGGUUCAGACCGUC